RNAcentral lists this ribosomal RNA (424 nucleotides) under uncultured prokaryote. RNAcentral describes it as "bacterial SSU rRNA". It matches the Rfam family "Bacterial small subunit ribosomal RNA", at positions 355 to 796 of the family's 1533-position model. The record is from RNAcentral.
UGGGGAAUAUUGGACAAUGGGGGCAACCCUGAUCCAGCAAUGCCGCGUGAGUGAUGAAGGCCCUAGGGUUGUAAGGCUCUUUUACCAGGGAUGAUAAUGACAGUACCUGGAGAAUAAGCUCCGGCUAACUCCGUGCCAGCAGCCGCGGUAAUACGGGGGAUGCAAGCGUUAUCCGGAAUAAUUGGGCGUAAAGCGUUCGUAGGUGGUUUUGCAAGUCUGCUGUUAAAGCGUGUAGCUUAACUACAUAUAGGCGGUGGAAACUGCAAAACUAGAGUGCGUUCGGGGCAGAGGGAAUUCCUAGUGUAGCGGUGAAAUGCGUAGAGAUUAGGAAGAACACCGGUGGCGAAAGCGCUCUGCUAGGCCGCAACUGACACUGAGGGACGAAAGCUAGGGGAGCGAAUGGGAUUAGAUACCCGCGUAGUCC